GUGGGGAAUAUUGGACAAUGGGCGAAAGCCUGAUCCAGCCAUGCCGCGUGUGUGAAGAAGGUCUUCGGAUUGUAAAGCACUUUAAGUUGGGAGGAAGGGCAGUAAGUUAAUACCUUGCUGUUUUGACGUUACCGACAGAAUAAGCACCGGCUAACUUCGUGCCAGCAGCCGCGGUAAUACGAAGGGUGCAAGCGUUAAUCGGAAUUACUGGGCGUAAGGCGCGCGUAGGUGGUUUUGUAAGUUGGAGGUGAAAUCCCCGGGCUCAACCUGGGAACUGCCUCCAAAACUGCAUGACUAGAGUACGGUAGAGGGUAGUGGAAUUUCCUGUGUAGCGGUGAAAUGCGUAGAUAUAGGAAGGAACACCAGUGGCGAAGGCGACUACCUGGACUGAUACUGACACUGAGGUGCGAAAGCGUGGGGAGCAAACAGGAUUAGAUACCCCUGUAGUCC
This 450-nucleotide ribosomal RNA is filed under the name uncultured bacterium. Its description in RNAcentral is "partial 16S ribosomal RNA". It matches the Rfam family "Bacterial small subunit ribosomal RNA", at positions 354 to 796 of the family's 1533-position model. The record is from RNAcentral.